RNAcentral lists this ribosomal RNA (191 nucleotides) under Gibbaranea occidentalis. RNAcentral describes it as "partial 12S ribosomal RNA". The record is from RNAcentral. Lineage: Eukaryota; Metazoa; Arthropoda; Arachnida; Araneae; Araneidae.
UAUUAAUCGACUCUCCACGAUAUCUUUCACUUUUAUUUAUAUUUUAUAUACCACCAUCUUUUAGGAUUAAUAUAAAUAUUCUUUCCUUAAUAGAAACUUCUCAUAAGUUAGGUAAAGGUGUAGACUAUAUAAAAGAUAAGAUGGGUUACAUUAAGAAAUACUGAAGGAUAAUCAUUCAAAUAUUUUUGGAA